UUCCGGUUGAUCCUGCCGGAGGUCAUUGCUAUUGGGGUUCGAUUUAGCCAUGCUAGUUGCACGAAUUUAGAUUCGUGGCGAAAAGCUCCGUAACACGUGGUCAAACUACCCUAUGGAUUGAAAUAACCUCGGGAAACUGAGGAUAAUGUCAAAUAGGGGUCUUAUGCUGGAAUGCUUAGACCUUGAAAUGCUCCGGCGCCAUAGGAUGUGACUGCGGCCGAUUAGGUAGACGGUGGGGUAACGGCCCACCGUGCCGAUAAUCGGUACGAGUUGUGAGAGCAAGAGCCCGGAGACGGAAUCUGAGACAAGAUUCCGGGCCCUACGGGGCGCAGCAGGCGCGAAAACUUUACACUGCACGACAGUGCGAUAAGGGAACCCCAAGUGCGAGGGCAUACAGUCCUCGCUUUUGUGUACCGUAAGGUGGUACACGAAUAAGGGCUGGGCAAGACCGGUGCCAGCCGCCGCGGUAAUACCGGCAGCUCAAGUGAUGACCGCUAUUAUUGGGCCUAAAGCGUCCGUAGCUGGCCGCACAGGUCCGUUGGGAAAUCUGCUCGCUUAACGAGCAGGCGUCCAACGGAAACCGUGCGGCUUGGGACCGGGAGGUCUGGAGGGUACGUCCGGGGUAGGAGUGAAAUCCUGUAAUCCUAGACGGACCACCGAUGGCGAAAGCACUCCAGAAGAACGGAUCCGACAGUGAGGGACGAAAGCUAGGGUCUCGAACCGGAUUAGAUACCCGGGUAGUCCUAGCUGUAAACGAUGCUCGCUAGGUGUGACACUGGCUACGAGCCAGUGUUGUGCCGUAGGGAAGCCGUGAAGCGAGCCGCCUGGGAAGUACGUCCGCAAGGAUGAAACUUAAAGGAAUUGGCGGGGGAGCACUACAACCGGAGGAGCCUGCGGUUUAAUUGGA
This 907-nucleotide ribosomal RNA is filed under the name uncultured archaeon. RNAcentral describes it as "bacterial SSU rRNA". It matches the Rfam family "Archaeal small subunit ribosomal RNA", at positions 1 to 910 of the family's 1478-position model. The record is from RNAcentral.